AGGAUGAACGCUGACAGAAUGCUUAACACAUGUAAGUCGACUGGAAUUCACCUUCGGGUGAUAGUACGGUGGCGGACGGGUGAGUAACGCGUAAAGAACUUGCCCUCUAGACUGGGACAACUGUUGGAAACGACAGCUAAUACCGGAUAUUAUGAGAACCUCGCAUGGGGAACUUAUGAAAGGCUAUAUGCGCUAGAGGAGAGCUUUGCGUGCCAUUAGGUAGUUGGUAGGGUAAUGGCCUACCAAGCCGACGAUGGCUAGCCGGCCUGAGAGGGUGAUCGGCCACAAGGGGACUGAGACACGGCCCUUACUCCUACGGGAGGCAGCAGUGGGGAAUAUUGGACAAUGGGCCACAAGCCUGAUCCAGCAAUUCUGUGUGCACGAUGAAGGUCUUCGGAUCGUAAAGUGCUUUCAGUAGGGAAGAAAAAAAUGACGGUACCUACAGAAGAAGCGACGGCUAAAUACGUGCCAGCAGCCGCGGUAAUACGUAUGUCGCAAGCGUUAUCCGGAAUUAUUGGGCGUAAAGCGCGUCUAGGCGGUCUUUUAAGUCUGAUGUUAAAAUGCGGGGCUCAACUCCGUAUUGCGUUGGAAACUGGAAGACUAGAGUAUCAGAGAGGUGGGCGGAACUACAAGUGUAGAGGUGAAAUUCGUAGAUAUUUGUAGGAAUGCCGAUUGGGAAGCCAGCUCACUGGAUGAAUACUGACGCUGAAGCGCGAAAGCGUGGGGAGCAAACGGGAUUAGAUACCCCGGUAGUCCACGCCGUAAAUCGA
RNAcentral lists this ribosomal RNA (770 nucleotides) under uncultured Propionigenium sp. RNAcentral's name for it is "bacterial SSU rRNA". It matches the Rfam family "Bacterial small subunit ribosomal RNA", at positions 26 to 810 of the family's 1533-position model. The record is from RNAcentral. Lineage: Bacteria; Fusobacteriati; Fusobacteriota; Fusobacteriia; Fusobacteriales; Fusobacteriaceae.